This is a long non-coding RNA of Archocentrus centrarchus (flier cichlid), 1629 nucleotides long. RefSeq lists it as uncharacterized. Lineage: Eukaryota; Metazoa; Chordata; Actinopteri; Cichliformes; Cichlidae. The transcript has 2 exons. The record is from RefSeq and is a predicted model, not a curated record.
UUUGCUGGGACGUCCACUCCUGGGAAGACUGACGGCUGUCCUGAAUGUUUUCCUCUUCUUGCUGUUUCCAAGCAUUGCUAUUGUAAUCCUUUUUUUAAUCAGGACAUCCCAAUAAUGUUUUUUAGUUGUUGAUUGCCCUGAUUUUAUCAUUAAAUGUCAUAUUUCCUUUGUUUUUUUCUGGCACCGGGUUGGAUGUAAUGUGUGGCUAUCACCAGAAGGUGGUGUAAACUCACCUACAACGUGUUUAAUGACUGCUUUGAUUGAACUAAUGGAGGAGUUUGAAGGUCCAGGGUGUUCCACGACUGCAUUUCACUCAGUGCCUCUGUGUCUCUGUCACUGCAGGAACAACAUGGAGCAAGAAGUCAGAGCUCUCAGGAGGCUGACAAACCUCACAGAAGGAAGGGAGAAAAAAAAUACACCUGUUAUCAGUGUGGAAAGCAUUUUUGCAGUUCACAAUAUAUACAACGUCAUCAAGUCGUCCACACUGGAGAGAAACCGUUCGUCUGUGACAUCUGUGGAAAGUCUUUUCCUUGGGCUUCAAGCUUAAAAUCACACCAGCUUAUCCACAGUGGAGAGAAACUGUACACCUGUGAUCAGUGUGGCAAAGCUUUUAAUGUACGUAGCAACCUACGGAGGCAUAAAUUUACCCACUCUGGAAGUAAGGCAUGCAACUGUGACUAUUGUGGAAAGACUUUCAGCCACACGUGGAGCAGAAAUAUACACCUACGCAUUCACACUGGACAGGGUGUAUACUCCUGUGAUCAGUGUGGCAAAAUGUUUGCAGCACAAUCACGUUUAAAAUCCCACAAGUUUACCCACAGUGAGGAGAGACGUUAUCAAUGUGACCUGUAUGAUAAGGCUUUUAAAGCUCCACAUUACCUGAAAGCACACCAACAGAUCCACAGCAGAAAGAGACUCUACAAGUGCAGUUACUGCGAGAAGCAGAGCCACACAGAUGGAUCCAGUUCUCAAACCUGUCGUCGCUGUGGUGGUGGGAAACCGUUUCGCUGUGACUAUUGUGGGAAAAUCUUCAGUCAACAAAGGAACCUGAAAAUACAUCAACGCAGACACACUGGAAACAAACUGAAAUACUGCAAAGACUGUGGGAAAAGCUUCCCCACAACAGAUGCAUUACAACGCCAUGAACUCAUCCACAGUGGGGUUAAAAACCACGUCUGUGACCAGUGUGGGUCAUCCUUCACCAUUGCAGGUAAUCUUAAAAAACAUAAACGCAGCCACACAGGAGAGAAACUAUACAAGUGCAGACACUGUGAGAAAAGCUUCUCAUAUUCCAGUAGUUGUAACCGUCACGAAAGCUUGCACACACAUUGAAGGGAACUACAGAUGUGACCAGUGUGACAAGAGCUGCAAAGAAAGUGGGGUUCCAUACCACUUCAAUAAUUCAGAGUUGUUACAGUUUUUUUACUUUUGAUUGUUCUGAAUUGUAUUUUAUUGAAUUUUUUUUCUUACUGUAUUUAAGUUCAGUUUAUUUCUGUAAGCUUGAAGUUUGUGUUACCUUUUGUUUCAUGUAUUGUGAUCCACAUGCUCUCAUGCUGUUUUCUUUCUGUUGAAUUUGUUUGUUUUUUUCAAAUCCUGUAAAAAGUUCAAUAAAAAAUUCCACUUCCUGUA